RNAcentral lists this ribosomal RNA (775 nucleotides) under uncultured Neocallimastigales. RNAcentral describes it as "partial large subunit ribosomal RNA". It matches the Rfam family "Eukaryotic large subunit ribosomal RNA", at positions 23 to 633 of the family's 3401-position model. The record is from RNAcentral. Lineage: Eukaryota; Fungi; Neocallimastigomycota; Neocallimastigomycetes; Neocallimastigales.
AGAGAGAGACAUGCGCGCAUAUCAAUAAGCGGAGGAAAAGAAACUAACUAGGAUUCCCUCAGUAACGGCGAGUGAAGCGGGAAGAGCUCAAAUUUGAAAUCUUCAAGGUUCUACCUUGACGAAUUGUAGUUUAAAGAAGUGUUUUCUGUUGGAGUUUUGGUAAAAGUUCUUUGGAAUAGGACAUCAUAGAGGGUGAGAAUCCCGUAUUUGACCAUUAUUUCCAGCUUUGUGAUACACUUUCAAAGAGUCGGAUUGUUUGGGAAUGCAGUCCAAAAUGGGUGGUAAAUUUCAUCUAAAGCUAAAUAUUGGCGAGAGACCGAUAGCGAACAAGUACCGUGAGGGAAAGAUGAAAAGAACUUUGAAAAGAGAGUUAAACAGUACGUGAAAUUGUCAAAAGGGAAGCGUUUGACACCAGUGUUGUUUUUCUCGAAAAUCAAUUAAAAAAGGCCGGAUUUUGUGUUGUAUUGACCUUAAAAGCCUUCUUCACUCUUUUCUUGUCUUUUUUAAUGCACUUUUCGUUUAACAAGUCAACAUCAGUUUCUUUUGUUGUAAAAGAGUCAUUGGAAGGUGGCUUUCACUUCGGUGAAAGUGUUUAUAGCCUUUGGCCUCUGCAAUCGGAGAGAUUGAGGUCUGCAGCGUAGAUCCUUCGGGGUUAGAUACAUUUGUGCUAAGUUAUAGCCUUUCAUAGACAACUUGUUGACUAUGAUCAGUCAUGUAGCUUACUCGCUUAUGCUAUUUUACCUACGCUUAGGAUGUUGACAGCAGUAUAGACUGU